RNAcentral lists this ribosomal RNA (253 nucleotides) under uncultured prokaryote. RNAcentral's name for it is "partial 16S ribosomal RNA". It matches the Rfam family "Bacterial small subunit ribosomal RNA", at positions 524 to 776 of the family's 1533-position model. The record is from RNAcentral.
UACAUGUGGGGCAAGCGUUGUUCGGAAUUACUGGGCAUAAAGGGUGCGUAGGUGGUCUGGUAAGUCAGUGGUGAAAUCGUCCGGCCCAACCGGACGCCUGCCAAUGAUACUGCCGGACUCGAGUGCGUGAGGGGUGGGGGGAACGAGCAGUGUAGCGGUGAAAUGCGUAGAUAUUGCUCGGAAGGCCAAAGCCGAAGGGACCCCACUGGUACGUAACUGACACUGAGGCACGAAAGCGUGGGGAGCAAACAGG